UGGCAAAGUGCUUGCCAACCUCAACCGCCAC
Molecule: small RNA, 31 nt
Filed under: Bombyx mori (domestic silkworm)
Lineage: Eukaryota; Metazoa; Arthropoda; Insecta; Lepidoptera; Bombycidae
Description: ovarian small RNA-1192
Source: RNAcentral